GCUGUUGAAGAAAAUGUUUCGUUAAAAGAUGAUGGCAGGACUGAAAUUAUUGUCAAUGAAUUCAAAACAAAAUUACAAAUAUGGAAGCCAAAGAAACAUCGUAGAAAAAACACCUUAUCUUGAGAUGCGACUUUUUAAAGAAACACUGCCAGUUGUCACCGUAAGGUUGGAAAAGUUCCUGAAAACGAAAUCUCAAUCUCAAAUUCUUCACAAGAAGAGGCAAUUCAUAAAGAUGAUUUCAAGCGUUAAUAGUCGUCAGCAACACGUUUAUUGGUGAUCAAGAACAGGUACCAGCCAGGCCUUAUUAUUGCAAUAUCUUAUCUGUCAUUCGCGAUAAUUUGUUUCCCUUUCAUCUUGCAAUAAAGAGCAGGUUGUAUCAAAUUACUUCAUUAUCUGAGCAAACCACUCAAGCUUAAGAGAUCCAAUUGGCAUCUCUUGCAUGUCGAUGCUUUUGCUUUUUCUUGUAAAUAAAAUUAGGCAACAAAACCACAAAUGAAGCUGUGGUUCUCGAGAUGAUUUGUUUGAAUGUUCUCAGGUGACAAUGUUUCUUCACAACAGGGAAGAGGGAACCCAUUGAAGAAAUUAUUAAUGUGGCUUUGAUAUA
This is a long non-coding RNA of Rhopilema esculentum, 604 nucleotides long. RefSeq lists it as uncharacterized. Lineage: Eukaryota; Metazoa; Cnidaria; Scyphozoa; Rhizostomeae; Rhizostomatidae. The record is from RefSeq and is a predicted model, not a curated record.